AGAGUUUGAUCCUGGCUCAGGAUGAACGCUGGCGGCGUGCCUAAUACAUGCAAGUCGAGCGGCAGCACGAUCUUCGGAUUGGUGGCGAGCGGCGGACGGCUGAGUAACGCGUAGGAAUGUACCCCAAAGUGAGGGAUAAGCACCAGAAAUGGUGUCUAAUACCGCAUGUGCUCCACGGAGUAAAGCUUCGGCGCUUUGGG
RNAcentral lists this ribosomal RNA (200 nucleotides) under uncultured bacterium. RNAcentral's name for it is "partial 16S ribosomal RNA". It matches the Rfam family "Bacterial small subunit ribosomal RNA", at positions 8 to 224 of the family's 1533-position model. The record is from RNAcentral.